AACCUGGUUGAUCCUGCCAGUAGUCAUAUGCUUGUCUCAAAGAUUAAGCCAUGCAUGUCUAAGUAUAAGCGAGUAUACUGUGAAACUGCGAAUGGCUCAUUAAAUCAGUUAUGGUUUAUUUGAUGGUACCUUGCUACUUGGAUAACCGUAGUAAUUCUAGAGCUAAUACAUGCAGGAGUUCCCGACUUCGGAAGGGAUGUAUUUAUUAGAUAAGAAACCAAACCGGUCUCCGGUUGCGUGCUGAGUCAUACUAACUGCUCGAAUCGCACGGCUUUACGCUGGCGAUGGUUCAUUCAAAUUUCUGCCCUAUCAGCUUUCGAUGGUAGGAUAGAGGCCUACCAUGGCGUUAACGGGUAACGGAGAAUUAGGGUUCGAUUCCGGAGAGGGAGCCUGAGAAAUGGCUACCACAUCCAAGGAAGGCAGCAGGCGCGUAAAUUGCCCGAAUCCUGACACAGGGAGGUAGUGACAAGAAAUAACAAUACAGGGCUCUUCGAGUCUUGUAAUUGGAAUGAGUACAAUUUACAUCUCUUCACGAGGAUCAAUUGGAGGGCAAGUCUGGUG
This 561-nucleotide ribosomal RNA is filed under the name Isochrysis galbana. Its description in RNAcentral is "SSU rRNA". It matches the Rfam family "Eukaryotic small subunit ribosomal RNA", at positions 1 to 566 of the family's 1831-position model. Lineage: Eukaryota; Haptophyta; Isochrysidales; Isochrysidaceae. The record is from RNAcentral.